Molecule: transfer RNA, 76 nt
Filed under: Acidobacteriota bacterium
Lineage: Bacteria; Pseudomonadati; Acidobacteriota
Description: Acidobacteria bacterium tRNA-Met
Rfam family: tRNA
About the family: Transfer RNA (tRNA) molecules are approximately 80 nucleotides in length. Their secondary structure includes four short double-helical elements and three loops (D, anti-codon, and T loops).
Source: RNAcentral
GGGUCAUUAGUUCAAUUGGUAGAACCACCAGCUCAUAACUGGUUAGUUACAGGUUCGAGUCCUGUAUGACCCACUA